AAGUGGAGGCGGCGCUGCGCUCGAUGCGGCGGCAGGGAGGCGGGAGCCGCGCGCGGAGAUGAAGGAGGAGAAAAUGGGAGGCGUGGAGGAGAGACAGGCGAGCGGGAAGGUCUGGGGUGUUCCCCACAACACACACGAGACCGGUGGCGGCCUUGCAGGUGCUUGCGGUGGCACGGUCGGCGAGGACCUGUCGGAAUCUCGCCGGAUCCGGUGGGAAAUGGCGCGUAGGCGGUGGAUCUGGAAGGAAGACCUCCGGAGCUUGGAGCACGACGGCUGGUGGGCGCGGCAUGGCUUUGGGUACCUGUGAGAGAAGAGAGAGAUGAGCGGGAGAGAAAAGGAAGGAUGGAAGGCCAGAGGGAGAGAGAGGGAGCGGUGAGAUGCGACGGUGGUCUUGCUGCUGCUGCUCGCCGGACGCCGUGGCUCGCCGGCCAUCCGGGAGACGGAAUUGGGGCCUCCCGCAUCACGUGGUGACGCCAAGGCCCAGGUCAGUCUUGCGAUUGCUGACCUGCUGCCUCUUUCUUUCCCAUGUAGAAAUUCAUCGGUCUUGCAGAUGCAUUCAUGUGUUGCUUUUCAAUCUUACAAAUUAGAGAUUUUGAUUGAUACGUACAUGGCAAGCAGCAGCACUACAUGAAUAUAAUAAGAGAAGAUACACCAAAUCUGAAGGUGCUACAAUUGAUCUACUCAUCUUUCCCCUGAUUUGAAUAAUUGUCAGUUCGUAAACACGUCACUUAGCAUCUUUUCUAAUGUAUGUGAGGGGCUUAGCUGGGGAAAUUUUGAAGCGGUUCAGAUGGGGAUUUGUAUCAUACCCUGCUGUUGUGUAUGCUGUUCUUUGCUUUGCUUGGGCCAAUUUUGUACAGGAAGAUAUGAUUUGGAUCAGUUAUGUGAUGCUCUGUCAUGCUCUUUGUGCUCCUGCUCGAGACAGAAAUUUUUAGAUAUUUGUACUGAUUAUUGGUACCGGCACUGAUCGUAUUUAUUCUCAAUUGUUCCAGGUUAAUCAUCUAGGGAAAGUAACACCUGAUCACAGGGUAUCAAAGUUAGUAGAUGUAUGUAAAGUUAUGUAGCUUCGUCAAACAAAUGUCAGUUUUUACAUGUUGGUCAGUUAUGUAGCUGCUCUCCAAUGACCUUUUCAACUCAACAUGCCGUCGGUCAAAUAUCCAUGGAGGACACGAAACAAAUCAAAAAGAAAUUAGCAAUCUGUUAAAUCCAAAUAUUUCUCUGAUUUACUGCUUUCAUUUUUGUGGAACCUAGCAUGUGAAAUGUUCAUGUGUUCUUACUUGAGCGCCUCUUGUGGUUUUAGCAAUGGAGUUGGCUCUAGCUCUUGAAAAGAUGGUGAACGAGAAGCUGCCCAACCUGCUCAUUCUAGGAGAUUGUGGCGGCAGCGGGGGUUUUGUGUCAGUAGAAGAUCAUCAAAUAUUAAGGAUAUGUUUUGGAAAUAUAAUUUUGUGAAAUUGAAUGCACAACAUGUUCAGAGGAGAGGAAACAGAGGUUGCUGUUAAUAACUUGAGUCGCUGUGAUGAUCGCCCGGGCGGCCGUGUAGCCGUCUCAGAUGGAGUCCCAGGGGAAGGACCAAAAGGAGGUGCCCGCAGGUUUAAUAUUUGAUGUCCUCUAUUUGGUAAUGAGAGCAAUGCAAUAUUCUGAAGGGGCACACAUGUAAGGGAAACUGUAUAUGUUUACCUGUCAAGCUGGAAACUGCAAUUCGUAUUCUGAGCUACGAGCUCCGAAUAAAUUGCUUUUCUCUUUCCUUCAAGUGGUCAUCUUAUUUCAGGAUUGGCAUCACUAAUAAUGCGAAGGUUUUUUUCCAUUCAAUCAAAUUUAAAUUCCAAAUUUGUUACCCGUUUCUAUAAGUACCGUACUAUUUUGUUAGAAUGUUAUUUACCAUUUAUAUUAAUUGCCAUUCUUGACCACUUCCUCUAAUUGCAGCUCUUACAUUGCCCCAAAAGGCAUUUGGCUUUUACGUUUAUUCCAGAAGUUCACUCUUUCACCUCAUUUUCUUCAAUGGUUGAAUUUUUCAUGUAUGAUAUAUUUAUAAGAUAAAUGAUAUGCAUUGUGAUCUUUCUUAACUUGAAUAUGAACUUGCAGCCAUAUAUCCUCGCAAGUAAGGGAUGUGGACCUAUGUGUAAGGAGUGCGGAGGUCACAGUUUGAUUUUGUGGUUCCGUGGCGCAGAUGACAAGGCCGAGAAGGAGCACCUCCUGGCGCUGGCCGGCGGCGACGAGGCCCGUGUCCACUUCUUCCCGUGUGACCUCCUCGGCGGCGCCACCAUGCUCACCGCCGCGCGUGGCUGCUCCGGCAUCUUCCGCCUCGCCUCGCCCUGCAUCAUCAACCGCGUCCUCUGUCAAUUGUACGAAAAGUAAAUUAUCUGAAUUUACAGCCUCUGAGGUUCUUUAGUUUCACCCCUAAACAUGAUAUUUACAGGCCAUCUUUCACUUGAAAGGCAUGCUUUUGCUGUACUUUUUCUUAGUUGGUUUAGAUUUAUUGGAUACUCCAAUUUCAUCCUAUCGGCAUAUGUGCAAUCAGAUUUACAAAACCAUG
Molecule: long non-coding RNA, 2530 nt
Organism: Triticum dicoccoides
Lineage: Eukaryota; Viridiplantae; Streptophyta; Magnoliopsida; Poales; Poaceae
Exons: 3
Source: RefSeq, a predicted model, not a curated record